AGCUCUGCAGUGUGUAGAACAUGUCGAAUUGCAAAUUCGGAGAAGCAGCAUAACCCCUGCCAGGGCUU
Molecule: transfer RNA, 68 nt
Filed under: Nanonycteris veldkampii (Veldkamp's dwarf epauletted fruit bat)
Lineage: Eukaryota; Metazoa; Chordata; Mammalia; Chiroptera; Pteropodidae
Description: tRNA-Cys
Source: RNAcentral